AGAACGAACGCUGGCGGCAUGCCUAACACAUGCAAGUCGAACGAGACCUUCGGGUCUAGUGGCGCACGGGUGCGUAACGCGUGGGAAUCUGCCCUUGGGUACGGAAUAACAGUUAGAAAUGACUGCUAAUACCGUAUAAUGACUUCGGUCCAAAGAUUUAUCGCCCAGGGAUGAGCCCGCGUAGGAUUAGCUUGUUGGUGAGGUAAAGGCUCACCAAGGCGACGAUCCUUAGCUGGUCUGAGAGGAUGAUCAGCCACACUGGGACUGAGACACGGCCCAGACUCCUACGGGAGGCAGCAGUGGGGAAUAUUGGACAAUGGGCGAAAGCCUGAUCCAGCAAUGCCGCGUGAGUGAUGAAGGCCUUAGGUUGUAAAGUCUCGUUUUACCGGGAUGAUAAUGACAGUACCGGAGAAUAAGCUCCGGCUAACUCCGUACCAGCAGCCGAC
This 446-nucleotide ribosomal RNA is filed under the name uncultured soil bacterium. RNAcentral's name for it is "bacterial SSU rRNA". It matches the Rfam family "Bacterial small subunit ribosomal RNA", at positions 26 to 518 of the family's 1533-position model. The record is from RNAcentral.